ACGGUUAUAAAUCAACAUAUUGAUUUAUAAGCAUGGAAAUCCCCUGAGUGAUACAACGAAUUGCUGUGUGUAGUCUUUGCCCAUCUCCCACGAUGGGCUUUUUUUUAA
This 108-nucleotide non-coding RNA is filed under the name Escherichia coli. RNAcentral's name for it is "antisense sRNA RprA". It matches the Rfam family "RprA RNA". Rfam says of the family: Translational regulation of the stationary phase sigma factor RpoS is mediated by the formation of a double-stranded RNA stem-loop structure in the upstream region of the rpoS messenger RNA, occluding the translation initiation site. The record is from RNAcentral. Lineage: Bacteria; Pseudomonadati; Pseudomonadota; Gammaproteobacteria; Enterobacterales; Enterobacteriaceae.